CCUGCCAAGCUCAGGGCUAGGUAAGGCUCUCGCUGCCCUACCUGAGAGGUGUGACUGCUGCUCUGCUAUCAGUGAGCUAAGAGCUCCAGCAUAAGGAGAGAGUGCACUUCCCACCUUCAGCUGGACUCUAGCUGCAACUGAGAGAAACAGAAAUUAAUAUUGCUCCUAAAUGUGGAUCUAGACUGGAGAGAUGCCAGACUAACAGGUUGAAGUUGCAUGUCUUAUACUUGGGUUUGUGUAUGGAGCAAAGGGUGGAAGAAGAAUUAAACAGUUCUGAGUUGAGAAAAUAAAAAAAUCCCAGGUCUUCAAAAGGAAAAGUUUCUUCACAUGCAGAAAUAAACACCAGUGAGAAGAAUAGUGAACUUGGUACUUCCAUCUGAAUCAGUAAUAAAGAUGCCCUAAGAAAGGAAGAUUUGAAGAAAAUCUAAGAAAAGAGGGAAAAUCUUGGACAAGCCCUGGAUUCUGUGGGUUGAGACUCUGAGAUCCUUGCUAGAUGGUGUAGGAUGAAUGGUCUCUGGGAACUUCUUCAUUCAGCCCCAGUGGCAUGGGUUUCUUGUGUGUUUCUUGAUUUCAGAAUGCAAAAACCCACAGCUGGUCAGAAAACAAAAUUCUUUUGGGAAAGCCACACCUACAGGUAGAAAAUUUGUUUGGAAUUAUGAAGGAUUUUGAGUGCAAAACCACCCCCAGUAGUUUUUCCUGGUGAGUAUACUUCUGAUGCAACACAAAAAUAAACCAUGUUAUUCAUUAUUUGCCACGGCAGUAAUAGGGACUAUGAUCCUAGGACUUGAUGAUGUUGCACCUGUAAAUACAAUUUAUACAAUUUAUAUCUAUUGUCACCAUCUCUUCUUCUUGUGCUCCCUCUACUUCUCAAAAUUUCAUCUUAGCAGAUCUCAUGUCUGAGUUCAUCAUGUUAUGAACAAUGUCCGGUUUACUUUUACUAUUUGAACGUGAAAUUGUUAAGGCCAUGUAUAUUGUUCACAAAAAAUGACUGCACAACCUUGAGUGUUUUCUGAAAAAAGCUGGGAGAAAAAAAAGAAAAAAAAAUUGAACAGAUUUCCUGUUAAAUUGCCUUGUUUCACAAUUAACAUUGUUUCAUUUUUCCCUCCAUAAUUGUGUUUCAUAUUCUAAAGAAACAGCUAAUGACUAAUACUAAAAUGGCUAAUAAAUAAUUGA
Molecule: long non-coding RNA, 1173 nt
Organism: Passer domesticus (house sparrow)
Lineage: Eukaryota; Metazoa; Chordata; Aves; Passeriformes; Passeridae
Exons: 4
Source: RefSeq, a predicted model, not a curated record